RNAcentral lists this ribosomal RNA (160 nucleotides) under uncultured Eubacterium sp. RNAcentral describes it as "partial 16S ribosomal RNA". It matches the Rfam family "Bacterial small subunit ribosomal RNA", at positions 652 to 811 of the family's 1533-position model. Lineage: Bacteria; Bacillati; Bacillota; Clostridia; Eubacteriales; Eubacteriaceae. The record is from RNAcentral.
GAGAGGUAAGSGGAAUUCCUAGUGUAGCGGUGAAAUGCGUAGAUAUUAGGAAGAACACCANUGGCGAAGGCGGCUUACUGGACUGWAACUGACGCUGAGKCACGAAAGCGUGGGGAGCGAACAGGAUUAGAUACCCUGGUAGUCCACGCUGUAAACGAUG